AUGAAAUGCCUGCAGGAGCUAAAAAAAUUCUGUGUUAAAAAAGAGAGUGUUGGAUAUGAACUGAGAGAGUUGGGGAAACUAACAGAGCUUGGAGGAGAACUCAGCAUACAUAAUCUUGAGAAGGUGGCAACCGAGGAAGAGGCUGCAGAAGCCAAACUUGUGUGUAAAAGAGAUUUGAAAGAGUUGUGGUUAGUUUGGGGUACAGAUCACCAACAUAGCACAGAAUAUGGUGUUCUUGAUGCUCUUCAGCCACACCAUAAUCUUGGAGCACUUGGCAUUAUAAAUCAUGGUGGUAUAAAUGGUCCUAGUUGGUUGUUUGGUGACAUUAGCAUCAAAAUGUUGGGGUCUCUGCACCUGGAGGGUGUGUCUUGGGGCACCCUUCCACCUUUUGGGCAGCUAAUGCAUCUCACAUCACUCACAUUGACCAGCAUCUCUGUAUUUCGUGAGAUCAGGCCUGGUCUUUUUGGUGUCACAGACAAAAGCUUUAUGAGUUUGAAGCGGAUCGUUCUUGAUAGAUUACCUGAAUUUAUCAAGUGGGUUGCGGGAGCAACUACCCAUUGUUUUUCAAGGCUUGAAUACAUCAGCUGCAAAGAUUGUCCCAAUCUCUGCGCGGUCCCCUUCCUGGAGUGCUCUGUCUCUUAUACCCAUCUUUCGCAUUUUUCCAUUGAUGGUUGCCCAAAGUUGUCUCUGCCCCCCAUGCCUCACACGUCCACGCUGACAUAUUGUCAUGUGGCACUUCCUUCUUCAAAGCUUACUUAUUCUAGUUCUAGAGGGGAGAUGUCUAUUGAUGGGUAUAGUGGUGGGCUAGCCUGGCAUAACCUGCGUAAUAUAGUACCAGUGGAUAUCAGCAAUGUGUCACACUUUUCACUAACGGAGCUUAGUAAACAGAAAUCCCUAGCAAGGCUAGAUUUCUACAAAUGCAGCAUCACGGGCCAUGGACUGCAGGAUCUGAUGCGCCUCGAAUCAGUUAGAGUAAUACAUUGUCCCAACUUGUUUCGGUGGCCCGUCGAAGCAGCUCACACCAUCAGGCCUUUCCCCGCUUCCCUCAAGACACUUGAGAUUUUCGGAGAGUCAGGCAUGCAGUCAAUGGCUCUGCUCUCAAACCUCACUUGUCUCACUCGUCUAAAACUGGUGGACUGUGAGAAUUUGACAGUGGAUGGGUUUAAUCCUCUCGUCAGAGUCAACCUUGAUACAUUGGCGGUAUAUAACAGAGAUAAGUGUCCCAGCUGUACUAUAUCAGUGGAUCUGCUCUCGGAAUUGGUGGUAGCAAGGACAAACCUAUCAUUGCAUGUAGGCUCCUUCCAGUUGAAAGAACUUACAUUGGAUAGCAUCUCAGCGGUGCUUGUUGCUCCCAUCUGCACCCUCCUCGCCGCUACCCUCGAGAUGUUAGAAUUCAGGCAUGAUCAGCGGGCAGAAAGCUUCAUGGGAGAGGAAGAAGGAGCUCUUCAGCUCCUCACCUUCCUCAAUUUUCUCUAUUUUGGGGAUUGUCCAAAUCUGCCGUCCCUUCCUCAAGGGUUACACAGCCUUCCUUCUCUUGAGCAACUACGUGUCGAAGGUGUUGGUUUGAGUAGCACAAGCUAUCUGGGCUUACACAUCUGGUACCUGUUGUUGUGUCUCCAGAUCAAUGAACCUAGAUCAGAGGUGAAUGAUACUGAGCAUCUGUACGUAUUUUUCAUGCUCUUGGUCAGUCCAUGGUACCACCCACUGCCAACUGCAUCUUGCGCAGAUUGUGGAGACUGCAUAUAUAUAUGGUGUUUUGACUUGUUUCAUGCAUCUUGUGGCAUCAUCAUCCAGACGCUGAGGCUAAAGCUGAUUCAGACGCUGAGGCUGAAGUUGUGUGAUGGAAUUACCGAGCGGACCGGUGGAAACGGCUAUCGAGCUGUUCUCCUGAUUCAGUUGUAUACAUUUCAACAUUUGUGUCGCAAGAUUAACAGCUUGAGUGGACGAGUAAAUUUAUCCUCUGUAUCGAACGGAACAGGUUGGGUACGAGCUUGCUCACACAGUACAUCUUGCGCACCACAGACCGCCAAGUACAUCUUGUGCACAUCACAGAUCACCAUCCAGAAAGAAAAAAAACACCUUGCUGCGGGUUGUGGAGACUGUUGGUUUUAA
This 2112-nucleotide ribosomal RNA is filed under the name Triticum aestivum (bread wheat). RNAcentral's name for it is "partial small subunit ribosomal RNA". The record is from RNAcentral. Lineage: Eukaryota; Viridiplantae; Streptophyta; Magnoliopsida; Poales; Poaceae.